This 775-nucleotide ribosomal RNA is filed under the name uncultured Neocallimastigales. RNAcentral's name for it is "partial large subunit ribosomal RNA". It matches the Rfam family "Eukaryotic large subunit ribosomal RNA", at positions 24 to 616 of the family's 3401-position model. The record is from RNAcentral. Lineage: Eukaryota; Fungi; Neocallimastigomycota; Neocallimastigomycetes; Neocallimastigales.
GUAGUCUCGCACAGAUGCAUAUCAAUAAGCGGAGGAAAAGAAACUAACAAGGAUUCCCUUAGUAACGGCGAGUGAAGCGGGAAGAGCUCAAAUUUGAAAUCUUCAAGGCUUUACCUUGACGAAUUGUAGUUUAAAGAAGUGUUUUCUGUUGAAGUUUUGGUAAAAGUUCUUUGGAAUAGGACAUCAUAGAGGGUGAGAAUCCCGUAUUUGACCAUUAUUUUCAGCUGUGUGAUACACUUUCAAAGAGUCGGAUUGUUUGGGAAUGCAGUCCAAAAUGGGUGGUAAAUUUCAUCUAAAGCUAAAUAUUGGCGAGAGACCGAUAGCGAACAAGUACCGUGAGGGAAAGAUGAAAAGAACUUUGAAAAGAGAGUUAAACAGUACGUGAAAUUGUCAAAAGGGAAGCGUUUGACACCAGUGUUGUUUUCUCGAAAAUCAAUUAAAAAGAGUUAGAUUUUGUUGUGUAUUGACCUUAACAGCUUGCAUUUCAAUUUUCUUGCUUUUUUUAAUGCACUUUUCGUUUAACAAGUCAACAUCAGUUUCUUUUGUUGUAAAAAGGUCAUUGGAAGGUGGCUUUCUUUUCGGAGAAAGUGUAUUAUAGCCUUUGACUCCUGCAAUCGGAGAGACUGAGGUCUGCAGCGUAGAUCCUUCGGGGUUAGAUACAUUUGUGCUAAGUUAUAGCUUUUUAUAGACAACUUGUUGACUAUGAUUAGUCUUGUAGCUUACUCGCUUAUGCUAUUUUACCUACGCUUAGGAUGUUGAGCGCAUGUCUCUCUCU